This 816-nucleotide long non-coding RNA is filed under the name Bos taurus (domestic cattle). Its description in RNAcentral is "long non-coding RNA NONBTAT019818". Lineage: Eukaryota; Metazoa; Chordata; Mammalia; Artiodactyla; Bovidae. The record is from RNAcentral.
GGUUUAGUGGGUGACACGUUUGGUUAACCAUUUUGUUAGCCUUUGGUUAACCACGCAUGGUUUGAAAACCUUACGGAAGUGGGAAAAUAUCUAUAUAUAGUGUUAUUCAUAUAAAAAACAAUCCUAUAAGAUGCGAUUCUUUCCUUAUCUGCCAUACCAAAUCCAGACUCUCUUCAGUUGGCAUUUAGUGAAAGGAAGAAAUUAUUGAAAAACAUCCUUUGGUGAUUAACUUAUCUGUAAGGUAGGGUGGAGUGGACAAUUCUCUCAAAGGGGGAAUUGAGCUUGUUUGAGUUGGAGUCCUUUGACUCAAACUUGUAUCCACUUCUCUUUUACAAUGAUCCUGUUCUAUCAUUGUAUGUUAAUAAAUACAAUAUCAGACCCCUUGGGUAGAGCAUGUUUCCCACCUCCAGUUGAACUGACUUGCUUUCCCUCCUGCUUUCCUCUUAUAUAUCUUUUUCCCUUCCCUCUGACAUUUUGCCUCUUUCCUUCCUUUUUGCCUUUUCUACUUGCUUUUUAUAUUAUCCCAUCACCUUCUAACUACACAGACUGUCAGGCCGCACCAUAAAGAGCAACAUCAUGUUCAAUGCCUUGUCUACACUGGCUUUCAAGGUGACUUAGCACUUAUUUCUUCAGAGAAAUUUCCUACACCUUCAAAACAUAGGGAAUGAUCUUCAUCAACUACUUCAGAGGUUUAAUAUCUGCAGAGAACUUUGCUGUCUAAAAGGAAGGCACUGAUUUAGGGCAAGCUCCUAUAUUAUUGUCAGUCGCUGGUGAGCAGUUGCUUAAGAGGAAAUUGGGAGUCAGAAAAGAAAUUGC